GUAGGUGGCAAGCGUUGUCCGGAAUUAUUGGGCGUAAAGCGCGCGCAGGCGGUUCUUUAAGUCUGAUGUGAAAGCCCACGGCUCAACCGUGGAGGGUCAUUGGAAACUGGAGAACUUGAGUACAGAAGAGGAAAGCGGAAUUCCACGUGUAGCGGUGAAAUGCGUAGAGAUGUGGAGGAACACCAGUGGCGAAGGCGGCUUUCUGGUCUGUAACUGACGCUGAGGCGCGAAAGCGUGGGGAGCAAACAGGGAUUAGAUACCCCUGUAGUCCACGCCGUAAACGAUGAGUGCUAAGUGUUAGGGGGGUUUCCGGCCCCCCUUAGUGCUGCAGCUAACGCAUUAAGCACUCCGCCUGGGGAGUACGGCCGCAAGGCUG
This 376-nucleotide ribosomal RNA is filed under the name uncultured organism. RNAcentral describes it as "partial 16S ribosomal RNA". It matches the Rfam family "Bacterial small subunit ribosomal RNA", at positions 527 to 896 of the family's 1533-position model. The record is from RNAcentral.